RNAcentral lists this ribosomal RNA (357 nucleotides) under uncultured bacterium. Its description in RNAcentral is "bacterial SSU rRNA". It matches the Rfam family "Bacterial small subunit ribosomal RNA", at positions 8 to 353 of the family's 1533-position model. The record is from RNAcentral.
AGAGUUUGAUCCUGGCUCAGGACGAACGCUGGCGGCGUGCUUAACACAUGCAAGUCGAACGGUNAAGGGAUCAGCUUGCUGGUUCUGGAUGAGUGGCGAACGGGUGAGUAACACGUGAGUAACCUGCCCCCUUCUUCUGGAUAACCGCAUGAAAGUGUGGCUAAUACGGGAUAUUCUGCGCCUGCUGCAUGGUGGGUGUGGGAAAGAUAUUGUUUCGGUGGGGGAUGGGCUCGCGGGCCUAUCAGCUUGUUGGUGGGGUGAUGGGCCUACCAAGGCGGUGACGGGUAGCCGGCCUGGAGAGGGUGGACGGUCACCACUGGGACUGAGACACGGCCCAGACUCCUACGGGAGGCAGCA